CCUACGGGAGGCAGCAGUGAGGAAUAUUGGUCAAUGGACGAGAGUCUGAACCAGCCAAGUAGCGUGAAGGAUGAAUGCCCUAUGGGUUGUAAACUUCUUUUAUAUGGGAAUAAAAUGUUCCACGUGUGGGCUUUUGUAUGUACCAUAUGAAUAAGGAUCGGCUAACUCCGUGCCAGCAGCCGCGGUAAUACGGAGGAUCCGAGCGUUAUCCGGAUUUAUUGGGUUUAAAGGGAGCGUAGGUGGAUUGUUAAGUCAGUUGUGAAAGUUUGCGGCUCAACCGUAAAAUUGCAGUUGAAACUGGCAGUCUUGAGUACAGUAGAGGUGGGCGGAAUUCGGGGUGUAGCGGUGAAAUGCUUAGAUAUCACGAAGAACUCCGAUUGCGAAGGCAGCUCACUGGACUGCAACUGACACUGAGGCUCGAAAGUGUGGGUAUCAAACAGGAUUAGAUACCCGAGUAGUC
Molecule: ribosomal RNA, 460 nt
Filed under: uncultured bacterium
Lineage: Bacteria
Description: partial 16S ribosomal RNA
Rfam family: Bacterial small subunit ribosomal RNA
Source: RNAcentral